This 490-nucleotide ribosomal RNA is filed under the name uncultured bacterium. RNAcentral's name for it is "partial 16S ribosomal RNA". It matches the Rfam family "Bacterial small subunit ribosomal RNA", at positions 30 to 507 of the family's 1533-position model. The record is from RNAcentral.
AUUGAACGCUGGCGGCAGGCCUAACACAUGCAAGUCGAAUGGUAACAGGAAACAGCUUGCUGUUUCGCUGACGAGUGGCGGACGGGUGAGUAAUGUCUGGGAAACUGCCUGAUGGAGGGGGAUAACUACUGGAAACGGUAGCUAAUACCGCAUAACGUCGCAAGACCAAAGAGGGGGACCUUCGGGCCUCUUGCCAUCAGAUGUGCCCAGAUGGGAUUAGCUAGUAGGUGGGGUAACGGCUCACCUAGGCGACGAUCCCUAGCUGGUCUGAGAGGAUGACCAGCCACACUGGAACUGAGACACGGUCCAGACUCCUACGGGAGGCAGCAGUGGGGAAUAUUGCACAAUGGGCGCAAGCCUGAUGCAGCCAUGCCGCGUGUAUGAAGAAGGCCUUCGGGUUGUAAAGUACUUUCAGCGGGGAGGAAGGGAGUAAAGUUAAUACCUUUUCUCAUUGACGUUACCCGCAGAAGAAGCACCGGCUAACUCCGUG